This 1419-nucleotide ribosomal RNA is filed under the name Salmonella enterica. RNAcentral's name for it is "partial 23S ribosomal RNA". It matches the Rfam family "Bacterial large subunit ribosomal RNA", at positions 566 to 1841 of the family's 2925-position model. Lineage: Bacteria; Pseudomonadati; Pseudomonadota; Gammaproteobacteria; Enterobacterales; Enterobacteriaceae. The record is from RNAcentral.
CUGAGGAUACGGUUAACGGAGCGAAAGCGACGUUCAACCGCAAAACAAGCAGAGGGGGCUUAGUGGUGGGGUGACUGCGUACCUUUUGUAUAAUGGGUCAGCGACUUAUAUUCUGUAGCAAGGUUAACCGAAUAGGGGAGCCGGAGGGAAACCGAGUCUUAAUUGGGCGUUAAGUUGCAGGGUAUAGACCCGAAACCCGGUGAUCUAGCCAUGGGCAGGUUGAAGGUUGGGUAACACUAACUGGAGGACCGAACCGACUAAUGUUGAAAAAUUAGCGGAUGACCUGUGGCUGGGGGUGAAAGGCCAAUCAAACCGGGAGAUAGCUGGUUCUCCCCGAAAGCUAUUUAGGUAGCGCCUCGUGAAUUCAUCUCCGGGGGUAGAGCACUGUUUCGGCUAGGGGGCCAUCCCGGCUUACCAACCCGAUGCAAACUGCGAAUACCGGAGAAUGUUAUCACGGGAGACACACGGCGGGUGCUAACGUCCGUCGUGAAGAGGGAAACAACCCAGACCGCCAGCUAAGGUCCCAAAGUCAUGGUUAAGUGGGAAACGAUGUGGGAAGGCCCAGACAGCCAGGAUGUUGGCUUAGAAGCAGCCAUCAUUUAAAGAAAGCGUAAUAGCUCACUGGUCGAGUCGGCCUGCGCGGAAGAUGUAACGGGGCUAAACCAUGCACCGAAGCUGCGGCAGCGAACGUAUCACCCAAGACAACUUUACGGAGUUGACGAUUGACGGAGCGAAGCGACGUCAAAGCGUUCAUUAAAGUCGAGUUGGCUUAGGGAUACGUUCGUUGGGUAGGGGAGCGUUCUGUAAGCCUGUGAAGGUGUGUCGUGAGGCAUGCUGGAGGUAUCAGAAGUGCGAAUGCUGACAUAAGUAACGAUAAAGCGGGUGAAAAGCCCGCUCGCCGGAAGACCAAGGGUUCCUGUCCAACGUUAAUCGGGGCAGGGUGAGUCGACCCCUAAGGCGAGGCCGAAAGGCGUAGUCGAUGGGAAACGGGUUAAUAUUCCCGUACUUGGUGUUACUGCGAAGGGGGGACGGAGAAGGCUAUGUUGGCCGGGCGACGGUUGUCCCGGUUUAAGCGUGUAGGUGUGUGUUCCAGGUAAAUCCGGUUCACUUUAACACUGAGGCGUGACGACGAGGCACUACGGUGCUGAAGCAACAAAUGCCCUGCUUCCAGGAAAAGCCUCUAAGCAUCAGGUAACAUCAAAUCGUACCCCAAACCGACACAGGUGGUCAGGUAGAGAAUACCAAGGCGCUUGAGAGAACUCGGGUGAAGGAACUAGGCAAAAUGGUGCCGUAACUUCGGGAGAAGGCACGCUGACACGUAGGUGAAGUGAUUUACUCAUGGAGCUGAAGUCAGUCGAAGAUACCAGCUGGCUGCAACUGUUUAUUAAAAACACAGCACUGUGCAAACACGAAAGUGGA